AUGCCGCGUGUAUGAAGAAGGCCUUCGGGUUGUAAAGUACUUUCAGCAGUGAGGAAGGUGGUAGUGUUAAUAGCACUAUCAUUUGACGUUAGCUGCAGAAGAAGCACCGGCUAACUCCGUGCCAGCAGCCGCGGUAAUACGGAGGGUGCGAGCGUUAAUCGGAAUUACUGGGCGUAAAGCGCAUGCAGGUGGUUUGUUAAGUCAGAUGUGAAAGCCCGGGGCUCAACCUCGGAAUAGCAUUUGAAACUGGCAGACUAGAGUACUGUAGAGGGGGGUAGAAUUUCAGGUGUAGCGGUGAAAUGCGUAGAGAUCUGAAGGAAUACCGGUGGCGAAGGCGGCCCCCUGGACAGAUACUGACACUCAGAUGCGAAAGCGUGGGGAGCAAACAGGAUUAGAUACCCUGGUAGUCCACGCCGUAAACGAUGUCUACUUGGAGGUUGUGGCCUUGAGCCGUGGCUUUCGGAGCUAACGCGUUAAGUAGA
This 482-nucleotide ribosomal RNA is filed under the name Vibrio sp. RNAcentral's name for it is "bacterial SSU rRNA". It matches the Rfam family "Bacterial small subunit ribosomal RNA", at positions 394 to 868 of the family's 1533-position model. Lineage: Bacteria; Pseudomonadati; Pseudomonadota; Gammaproteobacteria; Vibrionales; Vibrionaceae. The record is from RNAcentral.